UACAGAGGUCCCAAGCGUUGUUCGGAUUCACUGGGCGUAAAGGGUGCGUAGGCGGUCGGGUAAGUCUGGCGUGAAAUCUCCAAGCCUAACUUGGAAACUGCGUUGGAUACUAUCCGGCUCGAGGAAUGGAGGGGAGACUGGAAUACUUGGUGUAGCAGUGAAAUGCGUAGAUAUCAAGUGGAACACCAGUGGCGAAGGCGGGUCUCUGGGCCGAUAUUGACGCUGAGGAGCGAAAGCGUGGGGAGCGAACAGG
This 253-nucleotide ribosomal RNA is filed under the name uncultured bacterium. RNAcentral's name for it is "partial 16S ribosomal RNA". It matches the Rfam family "Bacterial small subunit ribosomal RNA", at positions 524 to 776 of the family's 1533-position model. The record is from RNAcentral.